Molecule: long non-coding RNA, 2542 nt
Filed under: Homo sapiens (human)
Lineage: Eukaryota; Metazoa; Chordata; Mammalia; Primates; Hominidae
Description: HSALNT0220753
Source: RNAcentral
GCCCCUUCCUUCAAUCAAGAAAUAACCUCACUACACCCAGCUGUGGGAGAGAAUAAAAAUCCAAGACUUCCCAAAGGCUGAGCUGAGAGCAAAGAGGCUGCUUCUCUCGUGGCCCAGCCUCGCUCUCUGCAGGUCCCCCAGCUCACACUGUACGGCCCACAGACCUCCAUCUGCUUGACCAGCCUGCUGCGGUCAUCUUUGAGGUGACUCUUGGCUUCCAGCUCAUACUCCAGGUCCUUCAGCGUCUGCUCCAGAAGCUGCCUUUUUGUGGCACUCAACUAACAGCUUUGAAGAAAGCGCAACAGACAAAACAGCUUGAUUCACAAGGGCCAGUCAGUGUCUUGAACUUCUCUAGAAGCUCCCUGGGGAGACCAGCCAGCUCAGGGCACAGUAGGUCUUCCUUAAACAUCUGUGUGGGCUGAUCUGGUGAAGCCGCAGGCUGUCUGCUUUGUUCUAAGUGUCCUACCCUCUUGGAGUUGGUACUAGUAUUGAGUAGAGCUAGUCUCAUGAAUAGAAUAAUACACCAGGGGGUCUGUUUCCUUCAGAGUAUAUGAAAGUGAAUGGCCAUCUCCGCUACAGAAUGCCACCCUUCUGCAGUGUCUGGCACAGAAGAGUUGGAAAGCCCCAGUAGUUGAGGACAGCUUUGGAGAACCCGUGGAAAAGCUUGAGGAAAUGUGUUCUUCUCUGGGAGGCUGACAGGAGCACUGGGCAUUUCUAAGAGAACAGCCUAGCCUUGAAGAUGACAUCUCCAGAUGAAGACCCACAUCUGGUUUUAGUGGUUACCAUGACAGAAAGUACAUGAAAGCACAGAAUGAAAAUCACCCCAUGGAAAACAGUGAUGGGACAUUUUCUGGAUACAGAGGAUGUGCUAUAUUCCAGAGCGUUAAAAAAACAAAAAACAAAAACGCUCUAUGACUCAGUUUCCUCAUUCACAAAAUUGGGAUAAUUAUAAAAUCAGCCUUCUAAAGCUAUUAUGAGAAUCAAAUGAGAUGAUACCCAGAAAGAACAUGAGUGUGAGGGUCAGAAAGAAUGACAGGCAAAUGUGCAGCCUGCGUUUCCUUCCUGUCCCCCUUCCCAAUGCCCAGCGUGCCCUCCUCCACUGCUCAGCACAGCCCCACCUUCCACACCCAGCAGGUCCCUCCUAACACCCGGUAAGGGCCCCAUCAUACUCAGAGUCCUUGACGAGGGCCGGCAGAAGAGAUUAACUAGCAUGGUGUCUGUGAACAAUGUAUCCUGAAUCAUAAGCAAGCAAACAACUUUUGAACUUCCUAGUGCUACCUUUAAGUAGUUAAAAUCACCCUUUGCUAAAAGAGAUGUAGAAAAUAAACUGAACAAUGGUAAUCACUAAGUCUCGAUUCUCUAAAGAUCAUGCUUAUCAGAGGUAGAAUGGGUGAAAAAUGCCUAUUUCUCUCAAAGCAAAGGCAGCCACUAUUACAGCACUUAGAACGGACUCCUGUAGCUUUUGGGGUUUUUUUUUAACCAAGAUCUUCAACCAGCUCAAUCAAAACACAAGCAGAGGGGCAGUGAACAGAGUUGAGCCUGAGUUUUUUAAGGAUCCAGAGAGACCUUGGCUUGUUAAUUCACUUUUGUUUUAAACAACUCCAUCACUCUACCAACUUAGUCAAGGGUGGUAUCUCACUGCAGUUUCCCUGCAGAAUGAUGAGGUGUCCAUGUCUGUUGCUCACAUGGAAACAGUGUCUCACAGGGCUGCAUCAGUGAGAAAAAUCCAGGAAGGGCCAUCUUUAUUUUCCUUGCAAGGAAUCCUUUUUUUUUUUUGUUUUGGAAGGACUGCUCUUUUAUAAACAAUACUGGUCUCCAUCUGGCCUUAACUAGUCUCUCUGGACCUCAGUUUCCUUAUCUAACUAGAGGAUCUCUAUGUUUCUUUCCAACCCAAGGAUUCUAUCAUAAAAAUCAUUAUAUAAAACGCAACGGGAAGUACUUUUCAGGGGUCAUUGUGACACUGUGAUCUUCUGAAGUCAAAUCAGACCAGGUGCUUGUUGGUGUUCUGGCAGAUACCUGAAUCCUUCUGCCUCUGUGCUGUAGUAAUGAAUGUGAUUUUUUUUUUUUUAAUACCAAAGAGAACUGUGAUGUCAGUGCGCUAAUUUCACUGCUUACUUGGAGUCCUGUAUCACAUAACCCUGAGCCAAAGGGGAUCCAUUAUCAGGGGCCUUUCAAGAGUGUUCUAGAAGCCUGCAAUAAAUAUCUAUUGUUCUUUUACACAGUUUCAGCACUGACUCAUGGGUGACUUUUCUUUGAUCAUCAAAGAAAUUAAAGUUUGUUUUUUAAAGAAAAAAAUGUUUUCCUGUGGAAUCUUGGUGCUCUCGGCACUGUUCAUGAAAAAUAAGCCCCUAAAAUUAAAGAAAAGGAAAUUAAUAUUUAUGAAGUGUCCGGGAUGUACAGACUCGCUGCUACACAGUCUCACAUAUUAACUCAUUUAAUUAAGUCACUAAUAUUUGGUAUAUUUUUAAAGAGGUAGAAACAUAUGCUCAGAAAACUGGGGUUAAGUUGCUCAAGGUGACCCAGUUGGCAAGAGGUAUAGCUA